ACUAUUGACGUUAGAGUUUGAUGC
This 24-nucleotide non-coding RNA is filed under the name Arabidopsis thaliana (thale cress). Lineage: Eukaryota; Viridiplantae; Streptophyta; Magnoliopsida; Brassicales; Brassicaceae. The record is from RNAcentral.